This 300-nucleotide ribosomal RNA is filed under the name uncultured Desulfurococcus sp. RNAcentral's name for it is "bacterial SSU rRNA". The stretch from base 52 to 300 matches the Rfam family "Bacterial small subunit ribosomal RNA", at positions 547 to 795 of the family's 1533-position model. Lineage: Archaea; Thermoproteati; Thermoproteota; Thermoprotei; Desulfurococcales; Desulfurococcaceae. The record is from RNAcentral.
GGGAGGGAGGGGGGAGGAGGGGGUGGGAUAGGGAGGGGGCAAGCGUUGUCCGGAGUCGUGGGGAGUGAGGGGCGGGCGGGCGGGCUGCUGCGGGUGGGGUGAAAACCGGGGGCUCAACCCCGGGAGUGCCUUGGAUACGGGGAGACUUGAGGAUCGGAGAGGCAAGGGGAAUUCCACGUGUAGCGGGGAAAUGCGUAGAGAUGUGGAGGAACACCUGUGGCGAAGGCGCCUGGCUGGCCGAUUUCUGACGCUGAGGCGCGAAAGCGUGGGGAGCAAACAGGAUUAGAUACCCGAGUAGUC